AUUGAACGCUGGCGGCAGGCCUAACACAUGCAAGUCGAACGGUAGCACAGAGAGCUUGCUCUCGGGUGACGAGUGGCGGACGGGUGAGUAAUGUCUGGGAAACUGCCUGAUGGAGGGGGAUAACUACUGGAAACGGUAGCUAAUACCGCAUAAUGUCGCAAGACCAAAGAGGGGGACCUUCGGGCCUCUUGCCAUCGGAUGUGCCCAGAUGGGAUUAGCUUGUUGGUGAGGUAAAGGCUCACCAAGGCGACGAUCCCUAGCUGGUCUGAGAGGAUGACCAGCAACACUGGAACUGAGCCACGGUCCAGACUCCUACGGGAGGCAGCAGUGUGGAAUAUUGCACAAUGGGCGCAAGCCUGGUGCAGCCAUGCCGCGUGUGUGAAGAAGGCCUUCGGGUUGUAAAGCACUUUCAGCGGGGAGGAAGGCGGUGAGUUUAAUAAGCUCACCGAUUGACGUUACCCGCAGAAGAAGCACCGGCUAACUCCGUGCCAGCCGCCGCCGUAA
This 504-nucleotide ribosomal RNA is filed under the name uncultured bacterium. RNAcentral's name for it is "partial 16S ribosomal RNA". It matches the Rfam family "Bacterial small subunit ribosomal RNA", at positions 30 to 523 of the family's 1533-position model. The record is from RNAcentral.